GACAGAUAGCACAAAGAUGAAUAAAUGUCCUGCUGUUUCUAAGAUUGAAGUCCGAAGAGAUGACGCACACGGUUUUGUUUCGACGCCCCGUUCUCUUCUUCUUCCUCUCGUGAUUUACUUUCUUUUUUAAGCCCCUCUCUUUGGCUUCCCAUUGGAAGAGACCUCACUGAAGUUGGCCCCCACCCAACGCAAAACGUCAGCAAAAUAGAUUUGUGCUGUAAAAAUCUUCGUUUGAGCACUCCCGCAGUGAACACUUUCAUCGGAAGAGCACUGUCCCGCAGUGAACACUUUCAUUGGGUAAAGCAGAGAAGAAAAAACUGAAAAUGAAGAAAAGGAAAAAGAAAAAUAAUGUUGAUACAAAUAAUCUUGCUAUUUUCCCGGGUGAUGGUUUUUACAGUUUAAAUCUAAACAAUCCACUUCCGACAGGGAAAGAAAAAUGCUUGCAGAAGCUAUAAUUAAUUCAAUAUGAAUAAUUUAUACUAGUUAUAUUAUUUAAAUCUGUCUGCUUUAUUUAAUCUGCUCUCUGCUUUUGUUUUGUUUGUUUUUUGGCUUGUAUUUAAUGUUACACGCAUUUUUGUUCCUUUGUAAUUCAGCACAAAAACGACAACAACAACAAUAAUAUUAAAAGAAUCAAUAAAUAAAAAAGUGCAUUGCAUUGAUUUUCAGUCCAUCGCUGCUCCAGGCUCCACCCACUCCCGCUUGAAAACCAAUCAGAUGUUUAAACAUCUUUCAGCGUCAUCAUCAUUAUCCCGCCCCCUCGUGUACGGCGCUCAGUUUCACUUCCUGCGGUCUCGUGGAUUGUCGAAGCUGUCAAUCAUCAGAACACAAAACUGUGUUUGGUGUUGA
Cyprinus carpio (common carp) is the source of this 846-nucleotide long non-coding RNA. Lineage: Eukaryota; Metazoa; Chordata; Actinopteri; Cypriniformes; Cyprinidae. The record is from Ensembl.